CAGCAGCCGCGGUAAUACCGGCGGCCCGAGUGGCGGUCACUAUUAUUGGGCUUAAAACGUCCGUAGCCGGGUUGGGAAGUCCUCCGGGAAAUCUGGCCGCUUAACGGUCAGAAUGCCGGAGGAUACUCCCAGCCUAGGGAGCGGGAGAGGCCGAGGGGAUUCCCGGGGUGGGGGUGAAAUCCUAUAAUCCCGGGAGGACCACCUGUGGCGAAGGCGCUCGGCUGGAACGCGUCCGACGGUGAGGGACGAAGGCCAGGGGAGCAAACCGGAUUAGAUACCCGGGUAGUCCUGGCUGUAAACGAUGCGGACUUUGUGUCGGACAAGCUAUGAGCUUGUCCGGUGCCGGAGGGAAACCGUUAAGUCCGCCGCCUGGGGAGUACGGCCGCAAGGCUGAAACUUAAAGGAAUUGGCGGG
Molecule: ribosomal RNA, 414 nt
Filed under: uncultured microorganism
Description: bacterial SSU rRNA
Rfam family: Archaeal small subunit ribosomal RNA
Source: RNAcentral